This 6498-nucleotide long non-coding RNA is filed under the name Homo sapiens (human). RNAcentral's name for it is "HSALNT0179086". Lineage: Eukaryota; Metazoa; Chordata; Mammalia; Primates; Hominidae. The record is from RNAcentral.
AGUGAAGGAGCAAAGGGGACUCGGCCGCCAUGUUAGGAGUACUGGGACGAUUCCGCGGAGCCGGGCAGAGGUUUUAGGGGUGCGCAGGAGUCAAGUGGUGGUUCAGUGGGGACGGAAUGAUUAACAAAGGCGUCCGAAGAAAUCGUUGUUGGAAGGUGACCAAGGUGGAAAGAGACGUUGCUUUGGCCCUGCAAGUAAGAAGAGAGAGGGAAUAGCCUGAAGGAGUAACACUAAAUUUAAAAUGACACUUUUUUACCAACCAGCGAAAGCAGAUGUUCAAAGGGGAUAUUGGCCAGAGUCUGUCACACUAAGAUGAGAAAUGUCCUUUCUUCCUGAAGGUGUCUGAUGUGUAAAAAUAUGAUAUACUUUGUGCUGUUUCCUCCCUUCCCUUUUGCAUAUUAUUCUGAAACAACAUUAACUAGUUACUUUGCGUCAUUGAAGAACUCACUUUGAGGCCAAGCGUGGUUGCUCAGGCCUGUAAUCCCAGCACUUUGGGAGGCCGAGGCAGGUGGAUCACCUGAGGUCAGGAGUUGGAGACCAGCCUGGCCAACACGACAAACCCCGUCUCUACUAAAAAUACAAAAAUUAGCCUGGCAUGGUGGCACACACCUGUAAUUCCAGCUGCUCGGGAGGCUGAAGCAUGAGAAUCACUUGAACCUGGGAGGCAGAGGUUGCAGUGAGCCAAGGUUGCAGUGGAUCAAGAUCACACCACUGCACUCCAGCCUGGGCAAUAGAGUGAGACUCUGUCUCAAGAAGAAGAAAAAGAAAAAAAACUCACUUUAAACUCUGCUAGACCAUUGCCCUUGUAUGUGAAAUUUUAUCUGGAUAGAAGAAGAUGAGGAAAAAAAUUUUCUUGUCUUUUAGUGGAGGAGAAUGACAUGUAAAACAAGUAUUCUUUAAAAAUUCCAAAUAUGAUAUGAGAACUACCCCAUAAAGUUGUGAAGGUCACAUUGGUGAAAGGAAAACUAAGUGCUGUGUAAAUUACAAAGUUGUCUAAGUAUCCACCUGGUCCUUACCUUGCUAUAGAAUCUUUUUUUUUUUUAGACGGAGUCUAGCUCUGUCGCCCAGGCUGGAGUGCAGUGGCGCAAGCUCCGCUUACUGCAAGCUCCGCCUCCUGGGUUCAUGCCAUUCUCCUGCCUCAACCGCCCGAGUAGCUGGGAUUACAGGUGCCCACCACCACGCCCAGCUAAUUUUUUUUUUUUUUUUGUAUUUUUAGUAGAGACGGGGUUUUCCCAUGUUAGCCAGGAUGGUCUUGAUCUCCUGACCUCGUGAUCUGCCCACCUCGGCCUCCCAAGGUGCUGGGAUUACAGGUGUGAGCCACCACGCCCAGCCUACCUUGCUAUAGAAUCUUUAGGCCUAAUAUAGUCUAGCCAGAACAGCUAUUUGGAUGCUUGCCUAAUCUUCAAUACUGGUUUCCCUUUUAUACAUGACUGCAAAACUGACUCUCACCUAGGUUUGUGAUGUUAGAAACUCCAGUUGUUUACUAUUAUUAUUAAAGUGGGAAACGGAGUUCGUUGAUCAAAUGGAUUAAUGUUUUGAGUACUUACUAUACACCAGGGGCUCUUAAAUUUUUACAUAAACUUUCUGGAUGGAGAGUGAUAGAAUCUCCAUUGUUCACUUGCCACAAGCCACACCAUUUGUAGCUAACAUUUGAAUGCUUACUAUGAGCAAAGGCACUGUUCCAAGGGCAUUACAUGCACAUCAUUCAUAUUUCUCAUUUAAUCUUUAUAACAACUCCUUAAAAUACUGGUAGUAUUCUUGUUCCCUAAUUUGUCAAUAAGAAAACUGAAAUUUAGAGAUUAUACAAUUUGCCCAGCACUAUUGGAAAGCUGGGACUUUGAAACCUGGCUGAUUUGACUCCAAAGUCUGCACUCUAUUCCAACAGACUGCCAGUGCCUCCAGAAUUAAUUAGCAUUAAUAUUUUCUGUUGUUUAUGAUCUAAGUAUGGCUGUCCAUGGCAGGGAGUUAAUGAGGGAGGCAUUAAUGGGGAAACACUGGACCACUUCUGAGAGAUGUGGUGCCCUCCCUCACAAACAGGUUUCUUGUGGUGAAAUCAGGUUGGAAGGAUAAGAGAGGCUGAAGAAGGUGGAGGUGGUGUAGUUGGGCCUGUUUAGGAACUGAUUACAUCUGAGCCUCUGGCCCUUUUUCCUGCCAGCUGACUCAGAGCUGGCAGAUGGGCCAAAGUCCAGGCAGGUUGAUUUCAUGGGCUGUAUACUUCAAAGGAUCUGAUUCCUGGUGCUACUAAGCACAUUGCUUUUCCGAAGGCACAGUCUUGUGGGGGAGGGAACAGGAUGGUCUCCAUGAGGUGUUUGUGAAAGCCCUAGGCAAUGUUUGCUCUAAUCCAAAUAUAUACAGCUUGUUUUGAGUUUGGCAAUAAAACACAGAGCCAGCCCUAAGCAGGGCUGAAAACUGAGUAUUUAAACCUUAAGUAUUCUGCAAUACAACAACAGUUAAGUAUAUGGGUCCUAGAGUCAGAUAGAACUGAAAUCUAAUCUUGACUUCACCACUCAGCUGUAGAUAAAUUACUAGACCUCAGUUUUCUUGUUCGUGAAAUGGGGAUUUUAGUUAUAGAGUACCUACUUCAUAUGGUUGUCGUGAGGAUUAAACAAAAAUGUAUACCACAGUACCUGAGAUGUAGUAAACACUCUUGAAACAUUAGUCAUUAUUCAUUUUUUAAAUUUUUCCUUCAAAUACUUUCCUAUCCAAUAGUCAUUAUUCAUUGAAAACUUCUAUUUUAUAAGACGAUCUCAGCACUUAAACAAAAUAAAUUGAUUCAUCAUGUUUUCACUUAACAGGCAUUCAAAAGGCAUUUAUUAUUGUGUUGGGUAGAUGGAUGGAGAAAAUAGCAAUAAUUUUUGUUGAACACCUAAAAUGAGCCAAACUUUUUAAAAAAUAUUGUCUCAUUUUAUGCUCACAACAGCUCUAUGAAGUAUUUUCCUAUAUUAUAGAUGAGAUCAUGGGCCAAGAGAGGAUUAGCAACAUGCCUAAGAUCAUAUAGUCAGCACUGUCUAAUUCUGAAGCCUAUGAAUAAGGUAGCAUUUAUCCCCACGGAAGCAUGGUAUUCAGCAGGCAGGCAGACACAUAAACAAGUACAGCUGGCCCAUCUAGCCUCACGUUCUGCAUCCAUGGAUUCAACCAAAAAUGGAUUUAAAAUAUUGGGGAAAAAACAAAUAAUAAAACAACUAAAAAAUACAAAUUUUAAAAUAUAGUAUAACAACUACUUACAUAGCUUUUACAUUGUAUUAGGUAUUAUAAGUAAUGUAGAGAUGGUUUAAAGUAUACAAGAGAGUCUGGACACAGUGGCUUAUGCCUGUAAUCCCAGCUUUUUGGGAGGCCAAGGUGGGUGGAUCCCUUGAGCCCAGGAGUUUGAGACCAGCCUGAGCAACAAGAUGAAACCCUGUCUCUACAAAAAAUACAAAAAUUAGCCAGAUGUGUUGGUGCAUGCCUGUGGUCCCAGCUACUCGGGAGAGUGAGGUGGGAGAAUCACUUGAGCCUCAGAGAUCGAGGCUGCAGUAAGCUGUAAUCACGCCACUGCACUCCAGCCUGGGUGACAGAGUAAGACCCUGUCUCAAAAGUAAUAAUAAUAAUAAAGUAUACAAGAGGAUGUCAUAUGUUAUAUGCAAAUAUUAUACCUUUUUUUUUUUUUUUUUUUGAGACAGUCUCUUGCUCUGUUGCCCAGGCUGGAGUAGAGUGGUGCUAUCAUAGCUGACUGUAACCUCGAACUCUUUCCUGAACUUGAGUGAUCUUCCUGCUUCAGCCUCCCAAGUAGCUGAGACUACAGGCAUGUGCCAUCACAUCCAGCUAAUUUUUAAUUUUUAAUUUUUUUUGUAGAGAUGGGGUCUCACUGUGGUGCCCAGGCUGUUAUGCCAUUUUAUAUAAGGGACUUGAACAUCUGCAGAUUUCAAGGGGAAAGAGUUUGAGGUUACAGUCAGCUAUGAUAGCACCACUCUACUCCAGCCUGGGCAACAGAGCCAGAGACUGUCUCAAAAAAAAAAAAAAAAAGAGGAGAGUCCUGGAACCAACUCCCCACAGUUAUGGAGGAAGGACUGUACCUACAGUCAAAGUGCUGUCGUUGAGUUUUACACUAGGUGCUUGGGAGAACAGAAUGGAAUAGGUGAACUCUGGGCAUGAAGUGAAGGUAGUCCCCUUCACAGGAAUAAAUGCUAAUAAUGGGGCUUCAGGUGAGAAUGAGGAAGGAAGCCUUUGCUGGUGGAGGAGUUAAGGGAGUUCUUUCUGGGUUUCCCUAAGUCACACUAGAAGAAAAGGGUUACAGGGAGGCCUUUCUGGAAUUCCUCAAGUCAAUAUGACAGCCUCUUAGAUCCAGCAUUACAACUGCAGCAAAUUUUAUAGCUGCAAACAAAGAAACUGUCUCCAGAGAGACAGAUUAUGUUGUUUACUUGAGGCAAAAUGGUGGGGGUUCUAUAUAAAUGAUAUGUCUGCAUCCGAAUCAUCUGUACCUUUUUGGGCUUUAGAACCAAACCUAAUAGUAAUAAUAGCAACCAAUUCUUAACUGCAUGAUCAUUAGGUACUAAUCACUGCUAUGUUCACAGGCUAGAACUCUCAACUGGAGAAAGGUAGAGUUGUUUGUCUAAAUCAAUAAUCUCAAAUUAAGUACACUUAAUUUGAGCAUAUACCCCCAAUAUAUGUAUAUUACUUUAUAAGUUAUACACAUCCACUAUUGGGCUAAUAUAAAAUAUACAUUAUGAAAUGUAAACAAAAAGUUUGAAGGAAUACAAUGAAAAUGAAUAAACUUUUAUCUCAGGGAAAAUAUAUACUUAGGUUUCUGUAUCUUGUUAUUAAGUGGAUACAAAUUAAUACUGUAUUUCAAAUAGAUUUUUUAAUAGUUUUGGAUGUUUUGAGUCAGCUGGUCAGAUUUUGUUAAUCAUUGUAUUUAACUUCAUAAUGUGACUGAUGAAGGGAUCAUACUAAGUAAAAGUGUCAGUUCUGCCAUUUGAGAGUGGGGGAUCCUAUGUAUCAUCUUCAAUUCACAGGGUUUUCUUUUUCCCAGCAAUUUUUUAAAACCAAUUAUUCACUUUGUAAUAUUUCAUUUUGUUAAAGUUAGAUUUUAAAAAUCCAUAAAUCCCCUUUUGAACCACAAUAUGUCACUAAUGCUCAAAGAAAGAAACUCCAUUUGUAUCUCAUCUGAUGUGAGCGUCAAAUAUAGAAACAAUGUGGGGAUGCCAACCUCAAUCCAUAUGGAUGAAUAGGGCUUAAUUUUCUCAUGAUAAACCUAAGUAGAAGCUAUGAAAAUUCUUACCACACUUCAGUGAAUUAUCUUGUAUACCUCUAGAGUGAGCACAUUCCACUUUGGAGAUCAGUAGUCUCAGCAACAAGACCUGUGGCCAUAAAGUGGGAAUAAACAAUCCAAUUUUUAGCAAUGCUUGGCCCAGAUUCACUUAUGAGUGACAUGAGAAAGGUACAACAUGAUAUUCCAGGAAAUCAGAAGAGCUAAGUAUAUCUGAACCUUUGAGAGUAUGGCCUGUCCAUACAAAGGCAGAAUCUACAUUUGUCAAGUGCCUUCAAGAAACAUUCUACCAAGAUAUGCACCUCCACAAAAGUAAGAAAAAGAGAAAAAAAAGAUUUUAAAAUUUUAUUUUAUUUUUUUGAGAUGGAGUCUCGCUCUGUCCCCCAGGUUGGAGUGCAGUGGCGCUAUCUCAGCUCACUGCAAGCUCCGCCUCCCAGGUUCACUCCAUUCUCCUGCCUCAGCCUCCCAAGUAGCUGGGACUACAGGCGCCCACCACCACACCCGGCUAUUUUUUUUUUUUUGUAUUUUUAGUAGAGACGGGGUUUCACCGUGUUAGCCAGGAUGGUCUCAAUCUCCUGACCUCGUGAUCCACCCACCUUGGCCUCCCAAAGUGCUGGGAUUACAGGCGUGAGCCACCGCACCUGGCCUUUAAAAUUUUAUUUUUAAAAAAUCACACACACACAAAAUACAUUCUACUUUUUAAGAAAAUUGACUUAGAUUUAAUCCCAGCUCUGCUAUUUGCUAACCAUGCAAUUUUGGGAAAGUAACGACCUAUUGGAGCCUGUUUCCCAUCUCCAAAGUGAGAAUGAUUAAUGCUAUACCUACUUCACUGAGAAGAAGAGUGUAUCAUGGUCAUAUUGACCCCUCACUAUGUGCAUAGAGAUGCUGAGCUAAACUCUUUACAAGCGUUUAUUUAAUCCUCAAUAUACCAGUGACUAGAGGCUAAGCAGUUUACCAAAGCAUUUUCCUUUCCCUCCUUAGCACACAGGACUAUAUUUCCUGGCCUCCUUUGCAGUUAGGUGCAGCCACAUUACUGUGUUCUAGCCAUUGAAAUAUGGAAAGAAAUGAUCAAUACUACCUCCAGCCCUGGCCCAUAAAACUUUCCUUUCCAUUCUUCGUGCUCUCAUUCUUCCUUCAUCUGCCGGAGGAUUCAGCAGAACCAUUAGGUGCACAGAGCUCUUCUCUCCUCCCACUACUUCCAACGUGCAUUGAACUGUGAUGUGAGCCAGAAAUAAACUCUUAUUGUGUUAAAU